RNAcentral lists this long non-coding RNA (1465 nucleotides) under Mytilus galloprovincialis (Mediterranean mussel). The record is from RNAcentral. Lineage: Eukaryota; Metazoa; Mollusca; Bivalvia; Mytilida; Mytilidae.
CGGUUAGCUUUUUCAACGUCAUACUGCUUGCAACCUAAUGCAAAAAGUCUAAUAACUUUAACAUGAAUACAUAUGCGGUAAAAGCAAAGGUCAAAAUCUAGAACGUUAAAUUAAUAUAUGACCUUGAGCUCAAUUUCAAGGUCAUAAACCAAGGACCUCAAAUCAAAAGACUCUAGGUCUUUACUUUAUAUUGUUAAUGAGUUAUAUUACCAUACGACUGAUAUUAGAUAUAAAAGGGGGGAAAACUAACAUCAAAUGUUUACGUACCCUUUUGACUAAAAUUUAUGUGUAACUACAUGUCGCGACUAACAAUUGUGUGAAAAUAUUUUGUCAAUAUCUUAUAAGAUUUCUGAAAAUGAUCGAUAACAAGCCAAAGUCAAAAUUUUGAACAUGACCUUGAACUUUGACCUUGACCUCAUUUUCAUUUUUUUGAACCAAGGACCUCAAAUCAAAAGACCCUAGGCCUAUGUCACUUAUCGUUUACCAGUUAGAAAUGCAAAUCAGUUAUGUCAUAUACAAAAGGGGGGAUAACUCUCAUAUGGAGUCUCCGGAUAGCUUCGACUAAAAUUAUUCAUUUCAUUCUGAGGAUAUAACGAGCAAUUUGGUAAAAUAAAUUUGUCGGUUUCAUAUACGGUUUCGACAUAUAAGUAAUAACAAGAAAAACAGUGUUCGGGGAGAUAACUCUUACAUGGAUAAGAUUUUGGUUACGCGGUGUCAGUUUCACAAGCGUAUUAAUUGUUCGAUAUCAUAUACCAUAUAUCUAAGCAACAUCUUGCGAAACAAAAAAAUUGCGAAGGAACAAAAAGUUGGCGGAAGAAAAAAAAUAAUAAUAAUAAUAAUAAUAAUAAUCAGAAGAAAACCAAUAGGUCUUUCCACGGAAAAGUGGAAAGACCUAAUAAUAAUCAGAAGAAAUACAGUAAGGUCUUUCCUUAUAGAAAAAGGAAAGACCUUAAUUAUUUGUCUUCAUGUGAUAAAAUGCUACUUAUGAGGGUGGUACAGUUGCAUUAGUAGUAUGUUUGAAUGAAGGUGGAAAUAAAAAACACUGUUGUUAGUGGAAUGUUUGAAUGAAAGGUGGAAAUAAUACAACACUGCUUAUAUUUUUCACUUUUGGUAAUAUAUUAUUACGAUACAGCAGAUAUGUUUUGAAUGAGACAUACAUUACUUGUGCCAUUGUCUAUAUUUUACAGUAUUUAUGAAAAAUCAUAUCCAAUUUAAGUGAAAAUAGUAUUUUAUAAAAAAAGAUGUUAAUAAUAUAUGCCUCCACCUAACAGGGUCACAAGCAUAUGUGUGAUCAUGGCUGUCUAUCUUUCACUCACACUUUUGAUUUUAGAACAUUUAUUAAAGGUCAGUGUGAGCAGAAUUUUUACUUUUUAGUGGAUGCUUUUAUAGAUAAUAAAACACAGGUUUUUGUAUUUGCUUGUUUGAUUUAAUGGUUCCUGUGCAAGUUUUAUGUAUCUGACCUCAA